RNAcentral lists this ribosomal RNA (207 nucleotides) under uncultured bacterium. Its description in RNAcentral is "partial 16S ribosomal RNA". It matches the Rfam family "Bacterial small subunit ribosomal RNA", at positions 568 to 774 of the family's 1533-position model. The record is from RNAcentral.
CGCGCAGGUGGUUCUGUAUGUCUAUCGUGAAAGCGUACGGCUCAACCGUAUUUUGUCGGUAGAAACUGCAGGACUUGAGGCUGGGAGGGGCUGGUGGAAUUCCCUGUGUAGCGGUGAAAUGCGUAGAGAUGGGGGAGAACACUCGUGGCGAAGGCGGCCAGCUAGACCAGUUCUGACACUGAGGCGCGACAGCGUGGGGAGCAAACA